Molecule: transfer RNA, 74 nt
Filed under: Rugositalea oryzae
Lineage: Bacteria; Pseudomonadati; Pseudomonadota; Alphaproteobacteria; Hyphomicrobiales; Nitrobacteraceae
Also listed under: 4 other names
Description: Rhodoplanes sp. Z2-YC6860 tRNA-Gln
Rfam family: tRNA
About the family: Transfer RNA (tRNA) molecules are approximately 80 nucleotides in length. Their secondary structure includes four short double-helical elements and three loops (D, anti-codon, and T loops).
Source: RNAcentral
UGGGGGAUGGUGAAAUGGUAUCACAGCAGACUCUGACUCUGUUUUUCUAGGUUCGAAUCCUAGUCCCCCAGCCA